GAUGAAGAACGCAGCGAAAUGCGAUAAGUAAUGUGAAUUGCAGAAUUCAGUGAAUCAUCGAAUCUUUGAACGCACCUUGCGCUCCCUGGUAUUCCGGGGAGCACGCCCGUUUGAGUGUCAUGGUAUUCUCAACCUUCAUAACUUUUUGUGACUGAAGGCUUGGAUGUGGAGGUCGUGCUGGCUCUCGCGAGUCAGCUCCUCUGAAAUGCAUUAGCGUGAACGUUUACGGAUCGCUAUCAGUGUGAUAAUUAUCUGCGCUGUUAGUGUUGAAGUAUGUCUAGUGUCGCGCUUCUAACCGUCCUUCAGUUGGACAACUUAUCUGACAUCUGGCCUCAAAUCGGGCGGGACUACCCGCUGAACUUAAGCAUAUCAAUAAGCGGAGGA
RNAcentral lists this unclassified non-coding RNA (384 nucleotides) under soil metagenome. RNAcentral's name for it is "partial contains 5.8S ribosomal RNA, internal transcribed spacer 2, and large subunit ribosomal RNA". The stretch from base 1 to 120 matches the Rfam family "5.8S ribosomal RNA", at positions 35 to 154 of the family's 154-position model. The record is from RNAcentral.